UACGGAGGGUGCAAGCGUUAUCCGGAUUCACUGGGUUUAAAGGGUGCGUAGGUGGGCAGGUAAGUCAGUGGUGAAAUCUCCGGGCUUAACUCGGAAACUGCCAUUGAUACUAUCUGUCUUGAAUACCGUGGAGGUCAGCGGAAUAUGUCAUGUAGCGGUGAAAUGCUUAGAUAUGACUUAGAACACCUAUUGCGAAGGCAGCUGGCUACACGAAUAUUGACACUGAUGCACGAAAGCGUGGGGAUCAAACAGG
Molecule: ribosomal RNA, 253 nt
Filed under: uncultured bacterium
Lineage: Bacteria
Description: partial 16S ribosomal RNA
Rfam family: Bacterial small subunit ribosomal RNA
Source: RNAcentral